UGAGGAAUAUUGGACAAUGGGCGCAAGCCUGAUCCAGCCAUGCCGCGUGCAGGAUGACGGUCCUAUGGAUUGUAAACUGCUUUUAUACAGGAAGAAACCCCUUCUCGUGAGAAGGACUGACGGUACUGUAGGAAUAAGGAUCGGCUAACUCCGUGCCAGCAGCCGCGGUAAUACGGAGGAUCCAAGCGUUAUCCGGAAUCAUUGGGUUUAAAGGGUCCGUAGGCGGCCUUAUAAGUCAGUGGUGAAAUCCCGCAGCUCAACUGUGGAAUGGCCAUUGAUACUGUAGGGCUUGAAUUAUUGUGAAGUAACUAGAAUAUGUAGUGUAGCGGUGAAAUGCUUAGAUAUUACAUGGAAUACCCAUUGCGAAGGCAGGUUACUAACAAUAUAUUGACGCUGAUGGACGAAAGCGUGGGGAGCGAACAGG
This 424-nucleotide ribosomal RNA is filed under the name uncultured bacterium. RNAcentral's name for it is "bacterial SSU rRNA". It matches the Rfam family "Bacterial small subunit ribosomal RNA", at positions 355 to 776 of the family's 1533-position model. The record is from RNAcentral.